This 484-nucleotide ribosomal RNA is filed under the name uncultured bacterium. Its description in RNAcentral is "partial 16S ribosomal RNA". It matches the Rfam family "Bacterial small subunit ribosomal RNA", at positions 30 to 507 of the family's 1533-position model. The record is from RNAcentral.
AUUGAACGCUGGCGGCAGGCCUAACACAUGCAAGUCGAGCGGAUGAAGGGAGCUUGCUCCUGGAUUCAGCGGCGGACGGGUGAGUAAUGCCUAGGAAUCUGACUGGUAGUGGGGGAUAACGUCAGGAAACGGGCGCUAAUACAGCAUACGUCCUGAGGGAGAAAGUGGGGGAUCUUCGGACAUCACGCUAGUAGAUGAGCCUAGGUCGGAUUAGCUAGUUGGUGGGGUAAAGGCCUACCAAGGCGACGAUCCGUAACUGGUCUGAGAGGAUGAUCAGUCACACUGGAACUGAGACACGGUCCAGACUCCUACGGGAGGCAGCAGUGGGGAAUAUUGGACAAUGGGCGAAAGCCUGAUCCAGCCAUGCCGCGUGUGUGAAGAAGGUCUUCGGAUUGUAAAGCACUUUAAGUUGGGAGGAAGGGCAGUAAGUUAAUACCUUGCUGUUUUGACGUUACCAACAGAAUAAGCACCGGCUAACUUCGUG